This is a long non-coding RNA of Triticum aestivum (bread wheat), 3740 nucleotides long. RefSeq lists it as uncharacterized. Lineage: Eukaryota; Viridiplantae; Streptophyta; Magnoliopsida; Poales; Poaceae. The transcript is spliced from 3 exons. The record is from RefSeq and is a predicted model, not a curated record.
CACCCCCAACCUCUGACCUACCUCUCCCAACUCCCAAGCCCUCCCUCUCUCCCUGUGCCGCCGCCCAUCGAGCUACUACAUACGGAUCAGCCGGCCACCACAGACCUCCCUCCCCAGCCGGCCGCCACGGCACCACCACCUCCUCCCCCCAGCAAUCAUGCACAUCGGGAGGCGACCAUGCGCCUGGCCUAGCUGGGUCUCAGCCUCCCUCCUCCCUUCGACCAAGGCCAGGAGCUCCCCUCCCCGACCGAUCUGACGGAGAAAGGGCUAGGCCUUGCCACUCUGGUGGUCGCUGUGGCCAGAUCCGGCCGGCGGAUCCGUCGUAGAGCCGACAGAAGGUGGGCGCUCGAGCUCAUCCAGCAGCUCGUCGUCGACCAGGAGGCCUCUACCUCGACUGCAUCAGCCCGUGGUCGUCCCCCCUCCAUCCACGUUGUCGUUCCUCUUCUCUUCCUCACCAGAUUGGCGGGAGCAACCUGUGCAGGACGACGAGCCAUGGACAGCCAGCACCCAGUCGAGCACCACCACACCCUCAGAAAAUUCAUGGCAACCAGGAGUCCAGGAGUAACAAUAUUUUUUAUUAAUUGGGGAUACGGUGAUGUUCAGGUGAUGUGGAACAUGCUGAGAUUUGGACUUCAAUCCUUGAUUGUGCACGGUUAUGCAUACUUCAUACCCAUGCUGCAAGCAAAUUUUCAUUUUCGAAGAGAGUAAUAAUACUAUAACUACAAAAUUCAUGUUGCAGAUUUAUGCUCCAUGUAGUAUAUUAUACUGGUCCAUUAUAGCUUUAUUCAGUUCACCAUUUGCACGAUCAUAUUCUGGAGCUUGAAAUGUACUCCCUUUUUCUGUAGGGAUUUCUGAACCGAGUAGAAUAUUAAUAACUUCUACGAAAUCAAAGAUCUCUGAGCUUUUAGAGUAUGCACCAUAUUGAUUUACUUAUCGGUUUAUUCACACAUAUAUUGAGUUCAUGAUGGAAAUAUAUACGAGUAUUCUCAAGGUAUGGAAUGUUUUUAAUUACUACCAGAUAGAAUUUGGGAAUUAGUCUUACAAAGCUUCCAAAAUCAGUGAAGUUAUACAGCUACUACAGAACUGGUUAAAAUCAGUGAUCUUCUACAAUAUCUACAUGACUGAUUACAACACUGCUCAUGUGAUUUGGUACUUUACUAUAUGGACGCUUGUUUUACCCCUGAGGCGAGCUAAUGAUUGGGAACUUAUAGUGCCAAACUGACCUGCAUAUUCUGUCAACCAUUUCGUUGUAGUAUUUAGGAUCAGCAUGUAAGCUUAAUUUGUCUCCUGAUGUUGUUUAAUUGUGUGCCUUAAAACUAUCUGUAGUAGCAUACCUUGUUUUCAACAUCAUUGGGGUCUUCGAUAGCUUGUUUAGAAUGCUAAACUGAAGAGUUGAAGUACUGAACAAAUCGAUACAGAGGUCAAUAAAAAGUGUUUAGGAGGAAUUUUUGGUCUGCAGUCUGUACUAAUAAAAUCUUGUGGUCAUUCGUUUUGACCUGAUCCAAGGUAAGGCCUAUCAGUGCUAACUUCCAGGCUGUAGAAACUGAAUUAUGUUUAUUGUAUUCCUGGACGCCAUACUGAUGGGAGGUAUACGAUAGUGGAGAAGCAACAUUCACUCUGUUUCUGUCAUGCAUGUAUGCACUUUCUUCAUCAUUCUCUGCAUCAUUCAUAAAUUCUGCACAUAUAAACAAUGAAUAUGUGUGAUAAAUUUUCUCUUUAUAGUAACGGAACUUUCGUGCGCAUGACACUCAUGUGUCUGAUUUCUAUCCAAUAAUUGAUCCAGUGGGGUGCUGUCAUUUUGUUCUAAGUAAUGGAUGGCUGGAUGUGUACCAUCGGACACUAAUCGGACAAAGAGCAUCGUCUGUGUAGCAACGCUCCUAUGGUAAAGAAACCUAUGUGGCAGUGACCACAUAUUGAACCUUGUAUUGGAUGAUGACACCUUAGGAAUAUAUGCUUUCUUCUUUCUUUGUAUUUUCUUCCAAGAGGUUUAGUCUAUCGCAAACUUCUUAUUCCUUAUAUUAUUUUUAAGGCUCUAAAAGCCACAGAGACAAGUGCAUCACGUCAAAGCAAUGAAGGUUAGCAAGUGAGAUGAAGCAUAUAAGAAUUCAUGCUACAACUGAAUUUUACUGGAUUAUUAUCACCUUCAAUCGUUCUUCCAAUUUGUUUUAUAAUCCCAGUGUAAUGAAUGGUGAGUCCAAGAAGAAGCAUCAUAAUUCCAAUGCUAAGAUGAUUCAAGCUUGAGUGAUACUCUUUAUGUCUAUUCUAAUAGCAUCAAACUUAUUCUUCUUCUUUUUUCUUUUUUAACAAACAUUGAUGUGCAGCACCCGCCAUAGACGGCCAUGUGAUGACAGUGCUUGGUUAGCAAUGCACUAGAAAGGAGUGACAUGCCUGAAUAGACUGAGCAACUUGGUUAGCAUUCAUGUGAACCCUAUUGAAGACUGUUGUGUUCCUGCUCUUCUACACUAUCAUGGGAGAUGAUGUACUAGCAUGUUGUCAACGUGAAGCGGGAGCUCCUGCAGAGGAGCAGCCAAAGCAUGUCACAGAUGUUCUCAUGUGGUUGCACCAGCAGUAUCUAUGCCAGCAACACAUCAAGAAGAGCGAGAGCUAUGGGAAACCAAUCAACAUGGGAGGUAGAUUCUCUUCAGUGCUAGGCCACCGUUACACUGCGGAGAGUCCUAGAGGGAUCAAAACACAUACAAUUAGAAAGGAGAUGACAAGCCUGAAAAUAUAAGAAUUGAAGCAUUAUAUCUCUUUUCUUGUAUCUAUUUGUCUCUUUUGAAUUAUCCCAAUGUUUUGCAAUUUAGUUUUUCUGUAAAUCUAAUAUUGUAAUACUCCUUAUACCUUAGUAAUGCAUAGGUGUAGUAAUACUACAAUUUUGAAGGAUCUGUCCUUCUUGUAUAUCUUCCAUCUUUUUGUGUAUAUUUUUGUCAGUUGCAAAUUUUACACCAAGAAGUGGGAUCUCUCAGGAAAGUAUCCUUGUUUUUAUGCUUUUUAUUCUUUGGGAUUUCUCUCUGGAUCAUUAGUUGGCUUGCACAAUGGUAAGUAUUUGGGUGAUGCUUUUGCUGCUGCUCCACUACUAUAGCAAUGAGUUGUGUUCCUUGUGUACAUUAAUAAUGGUCAAAAUACUAUCGGCUAAAUCUGUUUUCACUAAAUUAUUAGAUUUGUGUGUAUCAUUUUGCACAACAGAAUAUUUAGAGUAAUAUGCAUGCUGCUACAAGUAAUAUUUAGAGUAAUAUGCAUGCCACAACAGUCAUGUACUCAAUCAAGUACUAUGCACUAGAAGCUGUGAAAAAACAUUAUGUGAGCAAACUUUAGUAACCUUAUAUUUGUAUGCAUGUUACAAACAAGAUUACAAUUUUUAUCUUGAAGCCGUAAAUGAUUUUAGCUACAUCCAUUUUCAGUAUGAUCACACCUUGAUGGCACUGAAAAUUCUUCUGUUAUUGGCUUAUUGCAGGUUUAACUCGAGUCUCCACUCUGUAGGCAUGAUUAAGUACAUGGUCAAACUACUGCCAUGAGAUUUGCGGCAUGGGUGGUCAAAUCAUCGCCUCAGAUUUGCGAUGGCCUGACUUUUGUAUUGCGAUUUCCUUUGGUGCCCACAGACACUGGAUAACUCUCAGAAUGUGUGAUGUAACGAGUAGUACAUCGUUUGUAAGUUUCCAUAAGUGUGAGCUCUGUUCUACUUUUAGUAUUUUCAUUUUUGUAUUGAGGCAAGUAUAAACUCUUUGAUUCCUGAUAACUAA